RNAcentral lists this ribosomal RNA (497 nucleotides) under uncultured bacterium. RNAcentral describes it as "partial 16S ribosomal RNA". It matches the Rfam family "Bacterial small subunit ribosomal RNA", at positions 28 to 507 of the family's 1533-position model. The record is from RNAcentral.
GAUGAACGCUGGCGGCGUGCCUAAUACAUGCAAGUCGAGCGAACAGAUGAGGAGCUUGCUCCUCUGACGUUAGCGACGGACGGGUGAGUAACACGUGGAUAACCUACCUAUAAGACUGGGAUAACUUCGGGAAACCUGAGCUAAUACCGGAUAAUAUAUUGAACCGCAUGGUUCAAUAGUGAAAGACGGUUUUGCUGUCACUUAUAGAUGGAUCCGUGCCGCAUUAGCUAGUUGGUAAGGUAACGGCUUACCAAGGCAACGAUGCGUAGCCGACCUGAGAGGGUGAUCGGCCACACUGGAACUGAGACACGGUCCAGACUCCUACGGGAGGCAGCAGUAGGGAAUUUUGCGCAAUGGGCGAAAGCCUGACGGAGCAACGCCGCGUGAGUGAUGAAGGUCUUCGGAUCGUAAACCUCUGUUAUUAGGGAAGAACAAAUGUGUAAGUAACUAUGCACGUCUUGACGGUACCUAAUCAGAAAGCCACGGCUAACUACGUG